UGGGGAAUAUUGCGCAAUGGGCGAAAGCCUGACGCAGCAACGCCGCGUGAGGGAUGAAGGCCUGCGGGUUGUAAACCUCUUUUAUCAGGGAAGAAGCGAAAGGGACGGUACCUGAAGAACAAGCACCGGCUAACUACGAGCCAGCAGCGGCGGUAAUCCGUCGGGUGCACGCGUUAUCCGGAAUUAUUGGGCGUAAAGCGCUCGUAGGCGGUUUGUCGCGGCUGCUGGGAAAAUCGGCGGCUCAAACGC
This 249-nucleotide ribosomal RNA is filed under the name uncultured Microbacteriaceae bacterium. RNAcentral describes it as "partial 16S ribosomal RNA". It matches the Rfam family "Bacterial small subunit ribosomal RNA", at positions 355 to 616 of the family's 1533-position model. The record is from RNAcentral. Lineage: Bacteria; Bacillati; Actinomycetota; Actinomycetes; Micrococcales; Microbacteriaceae.